UGGUCAUCGCGCUUGGUUGAA
This 21-nucleotide small nuclear RNA is filed under the name Arabidopsis thaliana (thale cress). RNAcentral's name for it is "snRNA_14157". The record is from RNAcentral. Lineage: Eukaryota; Viridiplantae; Streptophyta; Magnoliopsida; Brassicales; Brassicaceae.